This 17-nucleotide microRNA is filed under the name Homo sapiens (human). RNAcentral's name for it is "hsa-miR-4317". The record is from miRBase by way of RNAcentral. Lineage: Eukaryota; Metazoa; Chordata; Mammalia; Primates; Hominidae.
ACAUUGCCAGGGAGUUU